Molecule: ribosomal RNA, 253 nt
Filed under: uncultured bacterium
Lineage: Bacteria
Description: partial 16S ribosomal RNA
Rfam family: Bacterial small subunit ribosomal RNA
Source: RNAcentral
GACAGAGGCCUCGAGCGUUAGGCGGAAUCACUGGGCUUAAAGCGUGUGUAGGCGGGAGCGUAAGUACCUUGUGAAAUCCCACGGCUCAACCGUGGAACGGCUGGGUAUACUGGCGGUCUUGGGCCACCUAGGGGUCAUCGGAACAGGCGGUGGAGCGGUGAAAUGCGUAGAUAUCGCCUGGAACGCCGACGGUGAAAACAGAUGACUGGGGGUGUGCCGACGCUGAGACACGAAAGCCAGGGGAGCGAACGGG